Molecule: ribosomal RNA, 639 nt
Filed under: uncultured bacterium
Lineage: Bacteria
Description: partial 16S ribosomal RNA
Rfam family: Bacterial small subunit ribosomal RNA
Source: RNAcentral
AUNCNUAUUAUUGACGNCCAAAGGGUGCGCAGGCGGAAGAUUAAGUCGGCGGUGAAAUUUCGCAGCUCAACUGNAAAAGUGCCUUCGAAACUGGUUUUCUUGAGNGCGGAUGAAGNAGGCGGAAUUUGUGGUGUAGCGGUGAAAUGCAUAGAUAUCACGAGGAACUCCGAUUGCGAAGGCAGCUUACUAAGCCAUAACUGACGCUCAGGCACGAAGGCGUGGGGAUCAAACAGGAUUAGAUACCCUGGUAGUCCACGCAGUAAACGAUGANUACUAGCUGUUUGCGAUAUACAGNAAGCGGCUGAGCGAAAGCGUUAAGUAAUCCACCUGGGGAGUACGUUCGCAAGAAUGAAACUCAAAGGAAUUGACGGGGGCCCGCACAAGCGGAGGAACAUGUGGNUUAAUUCGAUGANACGCGAGGAACCNUACCUGGGCUUGAAAUGCAUCUGACAGGAGCAGAGACGCUCUCUCCCUUCGGGGCAGAUGUGUAGGUGCNGCAUGGUUGUCGUCAGCUCGUGCCGNGAGGNGUCGGCUUAAGUGCCAUAACGAGCGCAACCCUCAUCAUUAGUUACCAUCAGGUCAAGCUGGGACUCUAANGAGACUGCCAUCGUAAGANGCGAGGAAGGCGGGAUGACGUCA